GAUGAAGAACGUAGCGAAAUGCGAUACGUAGUGUGAAUUGCAGAAUUCAGUGACUCAUCGAAUCUUUGAACGCACAUUGCACCUCUCGGUAUUCCGGGAGGUAUGCCUGUUCGAGCGUCAUUUGUACCCUCAAGCUCUGCUUGGUGUUGGGUGUUUGUUCCGCCUCUGUGUGUGAACUCGCCUCAAAACAAUUGGCAGCCGGCGUACUUGUUUCGGAGCGCAGCACAUUUUGCGAUCCAGAUCAACGUACAGCGGCAUCCAAGAAGCCUUAUUUAACGCUCUUGACCUCGGAUCAGGUAGGGAUACCCGCUGAACUUAAGCAUAUCAAUAAGCGGAGGA
Molecule: unclassified non-coding RNA, 339 nt
Filed under: soil metagenome
Description: partial contains 5.8S ribosomal RNA, internal transcribed spacer 2, and large subunit ribosomal RNA
Rfam family: 5.8S ribosomal RNA (bases 1-120)
Source: RNAcentral